This is a long non-coding RNA of Oryzias latipes (Japanese medaka), 390 nucleotides long. RefSeq lists it as uncharacterized. NCBI's taxonomy places the organism in Eukaryota, Metazoa, Chordata, Actinopteri, Beloniformes, Adrianichthyidae. The record is from RefSeq and is a predicted model, not a curated record.
UGUCUCAGCAAUUUUGCGUGUUUGUUGUAGUGUGUGUCAGUCAGGAAUGGAGAGAGCUCUUGGAGUAUUUUAAAAGCAGGAGGCCUCCUCCAAUCGUCUGCGGGCACAAAGAGCGGCUAAGCAGACCUCGUCAGGGGGCUUUAAAGAAACCCAUCAUCUGGCAGUUUGUCGCCUUGGAGAUGUCUUUGAAGAUUCAGGACUCCCGUUUGUGAGGCCCAGAGCUGAAGAGCCUCAUCCUUCACUUCUGCAUCCUCCCUCGACCUCCGAGGCUGAAAAAAUGAAGCUUUGCACCAGGCAGGAGUCACAGCAACAUUUCUGUUUUAUGUUUCUAAAAAGAAAGAUAUGCACAAAUAUUAUAUACCAUAUAUAUAUAUAUAUAUAUAUAUAUAU